RNAcentral lists this long non-coding RNA (1191 nucleotides) under Mus musculus (house mouse). Its description in RNAcentral is "long non-coding RNA chr13:55469207-55470398". Lineage: Eukaryota; Metazoa; Chordata; Mammalia; Rodentia; Muridae. The record is from RNAcentral.
UUGCACGAUAGAGCAUCUCAAAAGAUAUGCAUGGCCCACUUGAUGUUUAUGGACUGAGCAACUCUUGUGGACUAAAGAAUAUAGAGGAGACUGUAGGCCAGAUGUCGGCCGGCCCUCUGUGGCCCCCUGCAGGAGAAUGCUUACUAUUAGUUGGACAGUACAGCCUGGCUGUUGUCCGAGGCCAGCUCAGUGGUGUGUUCCCAAGGAGAUUUCUCUGACCCUCAGAUUGCAUGGCACAGUGAAUGAUGGUUCUUAAUCCUUGCCUCAGCGACAGACGCACAGAGAUUUGGGGCUCAUUCUUUGGAGUCUGGCCUAACGCCCACUUUAGCUAGGUACCCUUAGGGUAUAGCUUCUGUACUUCAUUCUGUGUUGAGCCUGAAGCUGCCACUCUCUCUCCAUCUUGUACUUCUUCCCCACUCCCUGAGCUACACCACAACAGGUGGGCCAGAGCCUGGACAGGAAGUCUGGCGACUAGUUAACCUAACGACCAGGGGUUCUCAGGGUCUCUGGUGCCCAGUGCUGACCAACAGAGUUUCAUCCACAGCCUGCCACGUGGGAAGUGGGCAGUGACUGACUGAGAUACAGGCUAAACCUUAGCGCCUUCUUUUAGCUGUGCCACAUGAGACGAGGCUUGCUCUUGCUUCUGAGCGUGUCACCUCAUCUCUCAGAGAACAGUGCAACCAGAAGUGACAGGGUAAUGUGAAUGCCCUUAAGAUUCUGCAUGAAGCCAGUUGUGGUGGUGGUGGUGGUGGUGGUGGUGGUGGUGGUGGUUCAUGCCUUUCAUCCAGUAAUGGGAAGGCAGAGGCCUGUGGAUUGCUCUUAAGUUAGCUGGGACUAUAUAGUGACAUCCUGUCUCAAAAAUGACAAUUACCUGGAAAGAAAGGACAGUUUCUGAUGACCCUGACAUUAUUCUAAAGCUUCCCCUUAUAUACUCUUAGAAGGGACCGUGACAUCAUGCUGUCCAUGAUAGCCCAUCUUCUGGGCUCGAGCCAUCUUCAUCAUUGCAGACCCAUGUCACCCCUGAUUCUUGGCAGAUACUUCUAACUUAGCAAGCAUCAUUAACUCCAGCCACAGAAAUUCCUUCUUUAACCCGGAACUGUUUCUGCCCUUUUGCUUGAAACCUCUAGCUUGUGCCUAUUUCUUCAGAACAUUCCUGUUCCUGAGGGCUCAAGGAAAGAGAACAACAGAUUU